Molecule: ribosomal RNA, 465 nt
Filed under: uncultured bacterium
Lineage: Bacteria
Description: partial 16S ribosomal RNA
Rfam family: Bacterial small subunit ribosomal RNA
Source: RNAcentral
CCUACGGGAGGCAGCAGUGGGGAAUAUUGCGCAAUGGGCGAAAGCCUGACGCAGCGACGCCGCGUGAGGUCUUCCUUUCUUCGGCUCUUCCCCCUCUGUCAGCAGGGAAGAACGGUCACUGUGCUAAUCAGCAGUGAAUUGACGGUACCUGCAACGGAAGCACCGGCUAACUCCGUGACAGCAGCCGCGGUAAUACGGAGGGUGCGAGCGUUAAUCGGAAUUACUGGGCGUAAAGCGCUCGUAGGCGGGAUGUCAAGUCAAGGGGGAAAUCCCCGGGAUCAACGUGGGAACUGCCUUUGAAACUGGCAAACUGGAGUGUGUGAGAGGAUAGUGGAAGUCCAGGUGUAGGAGUGAAAGCCGUAGAUAUCUGGAGGAACAUCAGUGGCGAAGGCGACUAUCUGGCACAUAACUGACGCUGAGGAGCGAAAGCGUGGGUAGCAAACAGGAUUAGAUACCCUGGUAGUC